RNAcentral lists this ribosomal RNA (433 nucleotides) under uncultured bacterium. RNAcentral describes it as "partial 16S ribosomal RNA". It matches the Rfam family "Bacterial small subunit ribosomal RNA", at positions 29 to 507 of the family's 1533-position model. The record is from RNAcentral.
AACGAACGCUGGCGGCAUGCCUAACACAUGCAAGUCGAACGAGACCUUCGGGUCUAGUGGCGCACGGGUGCGUAACGCGUGGGAACCUGCCCUUAGGUUCGGAAUAACUCCCCGAAAGGGGUGCUAAUACCGGAUAAUGUCUUCGGACCAAAGAUUUAUCGGCUUUGGAUGGGCCCGCGUUGGAUUAGCUAGUUGGUAGGGUAAAAGCCUACCAAGGCGACGAUCCAUAGCUGGUCUGAGAGGAUGAUCAGCCACACUGGGACUGAGACACGGCCCAGACUCCUGCGGGAGGCAGCAGUGGGGAAUAUUGGACCAUGGGCGAAAGCCUGAUCCAGCAAUGCCGCGUAGGUGAUGAAGGCCUUAGGGUUGUAAAGCUCUUUUGCCCGGGAGGAUAAUGACAGUACCGGGAGAAUAAGCUCCGGCUAACUCCGUG